Molecule: non-coding RNA, 1980 nt
Organism: Elaeis guineensis (African oil palm)
Lineage: Eukaryota; Viridiplantae; Streptophyta; Magnoliopsida; Arecales; Arecaceae
Source: RefSeq, a predicted model, not a curated record
UUUUGCCCCAAUUCAAAAUGCGUGAACCCAUCUCCUUGCCCACGCCGCUGACACCUUGCUCCGUCCCCUGUCGCCGGCGGCCUUCCUCCCUCCCCGGUCCCUCCCCGGUCGCUGUCCUCCCUCCCUAGUCCCUCCUCGAUCACCGUCGCCUGUCUUUCUCUUGCUCUCUCAUGCUGCUGCCACCGGUCGAGCACGCCACCCUUCCCAGUCGAGAUCGGUGCUGGCGGGCAUCCUCCCUCUCUAGUCCCUCCCCGAUCGCCAUCCUCCCUCCCCGGUCGCCGUCUCUCUCUCGCUCUCUCACGCCGUCGCCGCCGGUCGAGCCCGCCACCCUCCCCAUUCGAGCCCGGCACCACCAUCACCCUCCCUCUGCCACCACCGGCGUCCUCCCUCCCAGGUCGAGCGCGCCACCGCCGUCACCCUCCCUCCGCCACCGCCGGCGUCCUCCCUCUCCGGGCCGUUGCUGUCGCCGUGCCGCCGCCGCCGUCGCCGUCGCUGCACAGCCGCCGGAUAGACAGUAGGCCCCACUUGAUGAUACACAUCGUCACUUUAGCAUUUUGCAUGAUGAGUCAGAAGAUUUGGAUGAGACAGCUACCCAAGUCCACAGAGCAGACUAGUACUCCACCAGAGCCUGUCCAGCCAGAAGUCAUGACACCGCAGCAUCAUCUUCUUACAGGAACACAGCAGCGACGUGCAGUGCGUGGUCUUAGUAGGGGUCUUGUUUUGGAGAAAUAUAUGCAGACGCACAAUGAAAAGCCAAAAGUACAGAUAUUUCGGGAUCAUCCGGUUGGAACAGAAGUUAGUAUAGCCUCAAAUGAGAUCAGUUUGUAUAUGUGGAAUCAUUUUUCAUGGGCCAUCGAAAGUUUCAAGCAUGUAGCCCCUCGAUACCGCGAUGCUCUAGUCUCUCACAUCAAGAUAAUAAUUAACUUCGAAUGUCUUGCACAUCAUUACAUGAUCCAUAUUAUUUUUUGUUAUAUGGAUAAUUUUUUAUUAUAUGAAUAAUUCUAUAUAUUUGCUUUUUGUUAUGAUGAAUGUGUAGGAUAAUAUGGACUUCGAGGAUUGCACCGAUGAACAAAUGACGGCAUGUAUUCUCAAAAUGACUGCAAAUAGAUACAGAGAUCGACGAUGUAGGCUUCAUAAAUACUGCAAUGAGUUACAAGCGAAGGGGAUUGAUCCUGUGACCCAGCCUUAUAGAAAUUGGGCUGGGUUUAGUGACGAUUGACGGUGGUUAUGCGAGCAUUUUGGGAGUAAGGCAUUUCAGCAACGAUCGGAGGCGAAUAAGGUGAAUAGGAGUAAGGUUGAUUCUAUUCACAUGCAAGGAAGUGCUUCUUUUGUACAGAAAAUGAAGAGGAUGAGACUAUCCGGGGUCUACGUCUAUGUUAAAUUCUAUCAAAAUAAGAGUGGCAAGUUUGUGACAGAGGAGGCGAGGCAGCGUCAUGAAAAAAUUUACAAUUCAGAGAUCAGGCAACGAGGGAGGUUGGAUCUGACAGCGAUACUGGAUCGCAGCAGGUUUGUUCGAUGACAGAUGAUGCGAUCCUGGAUGCCGUCCUCAGGCAGCAGCUAGGAUAUGAGCAUAGCAUGCGAUCAAAAAAAUCCCACAAUUCGUCGUCCGGUCAGUCUGAUGAUGCAUCAGUGCCAGAGAUAGUUAGGACAUCGAUGAGCAUGAUGCAGGAUCAAAUUACUUACUGGAUGAAUUGUAGUCAAAUGGUGGAAAGGAUAGUGGCUGCAAUGGCAGGAUGGCUCGGUAUCGAUGCCUCCGAGUUAGCACCUCUACAAUCGCAUGAUGCUGCCUCUGCACCGCCAUCGUGAUACAUAUCGGGUCAGGGAUCGACACCUGGAGGAAGGAACGAGGCCAAUGACUAAUGAUACAUAGUUUGUAGUUUUUUUAAAUUUUAAAUGGUAUAUGAACUUGUAUUUUUAUAUAUGACAACGAUGGCUAUGAAACUUAUUGCUAUUUGAAAUUAUAAUUUCGAAUUUGAAUGU